Molecule: ribosomal RNA, 97 nt
Filed under: uncultured bacterium
Lineage: Bacteria
Description: partial 16S ribosomal RNA
Rfam family: Bacterial small subunit ribosomal RNA
Source: RNAcentral
CGACGCCGCGUGGGGAUGAAGGCCUUCGGUUGUAAACCCUUUCACCAGGAGCGAAAACAGACGGUACCUGGGGAAGAAGCGCCGGCUAACUACGUGU